This is a long non-coding RNA of Oncorhynchus mykiss (rainbow trout), 698 nucleotides long. RefSeq lists it as uncharacterized. Lineage: Eukaryota; Metazoa; Chordata; Actinopteri; Salmoniformes; Salmonidae. The record is from RefSeq and is a predicted model, not a curated record.
GCCGUAAAGCGUUUUCUGCCAGCGUUGUCUUAUAAAUACUCUUCAGACUCCUUGAACGGUCUCAUUUCGUCAGUCUUCAGGAUCGUUUUGGUAAAGUAGAAUGCGCACAUGCUCUGUCGACGGUGCUGCUAAAUGCAGUAAUGAAGGAAAUGACAGGCCCCGCAUUUGGCUAUCUUGAGUUGAGCCAGAACUCUGCGCCAGAAGCUCUUCCAUGUGGGAAAAGCUUAAUAUGAAGAUUCAUUCAAGAUCAAGCUCGGCUUCAAGGAGCAACUGAGUUGCCCUGAAUACCCAAGAGUUCCUGAGCGUGUGGUCAUUCGCCGAGUCAUGUCUACCAAAUGGCCACAGGGUGGCUCAAGCCCUGAUGCACAGCGGCCCUUUGGCCUCUUGUAUCAUGUGCCAAGGGCUCUGAGAGGGUAAUGAAUUAAGUACACCAGGACUGGUCUUUUGAUGAUCCAGUACACCAGAACUUGGCUGAAUGAUACAUCUCCAGUGAAGGUUGUACAUCCCUGGCCAACAAAUGAUCAGAGUAAGGUGACCUGUUUCGGCCCUGCAUGCACCACCUAUCAAGUUAAGAGGUGUUUGAAGAAAUUAACAAGAUGAAUGCUUUCUCAAAGAUUCAAUUUAAAAUGCAUUUGAAGAUGUAGCUCAAUCUGACCUGUUGAGCUUAUGAAUUUUCAAUAAAAUGUUUGGUAAUUUGA